GUGGACGCACCCCUGGUGUUCCGGUUGUGUCGCCAGACGCAUUGCGGGGUAGCUAAGUGCGGAAGAGAUAAGUGCUGAAAGCAUCUAAGCACGAAACUUGCCAAGAGAUGAGUUCUCCCAAUCUAAGAGAUAGUAAGGGUUGUUGUAGACUACGACGUAGAUAGGUCUGGUGUAUAAGUGUAGUGAUACAUUGAGCUAACAGAUACUAAUUGCCCGAGAGGCUUAACU
This 228-nucleotide ribosomal RNA is filed under the name Haemophilus influenzae 3655. RNAcentral describes it as "partial 23S ribosomal RNA". It matches the Rfam family "Bacterial large subunit ribosomal RNA", at positions 2697 to 2925 of the family's 2925-position model. The record is from RNAcentral. Lineage: Bacteria; Pseudomonadati; Pseudomonadota; Gammaproteobacteria; Pasteurellales; Pasteurellaceae.